GGUGAACGCUGCGGCAGGCCUAACACAUGCAAGUCGAGGGGUAGAGGGAGCUUGCUCCCUUGAGACCGGCGCACGGGUGCGUAACGCGUAUGCAAUCUACCUUAUACAGGGGAAUAGCCCAGGGAAACUUGGAUUAAUGCCCCAUAGCCUACAGAGACGGCAUUGUCUCUAUAGUAAAGAUUUAUCGGUAUAAGAUGAGCAUGCGUACCAUUAGCUAGUUGGUGUGGUAACGGCACACCAAGGCUACGAUGGUUAGGGGCCCUGAGAGGGGGAUCCCCCACACUGGUACUGAGACACGGACCAGACUCCUACGGGAGGCAGCAGUGAGGAAUAUUGGACAAUGGGCGGGAGCCUGAUCCAGCCAUGCCGCGUGCAGGAAGACAGCCCUAUGGGUCGUAAACUGCUUUUAUAGGGGAAGAAACACUCUCACGUGUGAGAGCUUGACGGUCCCUACGAAUAAGGACCGGCUACUCCGUGCCAGCAGCCGCGGUAAUACCGAGGGUCCAGCGUUAUCCGGAAUAUUGGGUUUAAAGGGUCCGAGGCGGCCUUUAGUCAGUGGUGAAGUUUUCACUCAACUGUAGAACUGCAUUGUACUGGAGGUUUGAAUAAUGUGAAGUGGCUAAAAUGUAUGUAGCGGGAAUCUUAAUUA
RNAcentral lists this ribosomal RNA (649 nucleotides) under uncultured Antarctic soil bacterium. RNAcentral describes it as "bacterial SSU rRNA". It matches the Rfam family "Bacterial small subunit ribosomal RNA", at positions 28 to 697 of the family's 1533-position model. The record is from RNAcentral.